AGCUUUGCGCAGUGGCAUUACCGUAGCUGAUGAGGUCCAUCCGAGGCGCGGUUAUUGCUGAUUGAAAACUUUUCCCAAUACCCCGCGAGACGACUUGAAACAUAGUCGGCUUUGCAAUUUUUGUGGGCCCUAUUUAUGG
This is a non-coding RNA of Nematostella vectensis (starlet sea anemone), 139 nucleotides long. The record is from Rfam. NCBI's taxonomy places the organism in Eukaryota, Metazoa, Cnidaria, Anthozoa, Actiniaria, Edwardsiidae.